This 1043-nucleotide long non-coding RNA is filed under the name Sinocyclocheilus grahami. RNAcentral's name for it is "lncRNA (ENSSGRG00000039751.1)". The record is from RNAcentral. Lineage: Eukaryota; Metazoa; Chordata; Actinopteri; Cypriniformes; Cyprinidae.
UUAAUUUUGUGUGUUUGUUUUGCAAUUGUUAACCUGCUCUAGCACAGCAUUUGCUUUUUGUAGGUCGCCUGCAGGAAAUUCCACUGACCAAUCCAGAAUGCAACAUUUUUCUUGCUGUGGGCGUCAACUGGCAUCUAAAUUUGGCCGAACAGUGACCAAUCAGCAAUGGAAAUCUCAAAAUACAACUCCUUUCCAGAAGUCUUAACAGAUUGUGAAUCAAAAUAUUCAUCAUACAAGUGAAAUCUGGACAUUUACUGAUAUUACAAUAAGCACAGGUAAUUAUGCCCUGGAGACUGGACGUCUCUCUGCUGAGCAGUGGAGGAUGUCUGUUUUAAGCGCUAUGAGUGGGUGUUCGGUGCGCAGCUUCUUGUUUUGCAUAUCCUGUGAGGUUGGAAGACCCAUAAUUCUGCAUUUCAAAAUAAGAGAUUGCCUGACCCUGCAAAUAAUCAAUCAACACCGAUCAAUUAUUCUCCAGGCCCAGAGAGACAGAAUCAGCAGAGAUGGAAGUAGAUCAAAAUCGUAUGAAAAUAAAUCAUGUUUUUCUCUAACAACUAUGCUGCAAGAAGCAUUUCUAAUAUACAUCAAUGCUGUUUUACGUUCAUAUAAACAGUCAACAAAGCUAUAUGAAACGUUGUAAGUUAUAAUAUGGAUGCCGUACACGUUCUCCUUUCUGCCCUUUGGAUCCUGGUGGUCCUUCUGCCCCUUUAAGACCAGGAUCCCCCUGCAGAUGCACAGUUUAUGCAAAGAGCCUAUGAGGAACCCACUGGAAAUGCAUCCAGAGGUGAUGUGCAAAAGCAUAAUAAAGUCAUUGUGUGAUGCUGUGAUACUGAAACAUUAUUUGACCUUUUCACCCCUGGGCCCCGUGGCACCCGGUAGCCCUGUCUCACCCUGUAGGAUGGGAAAAAUUGAGAGUGAUAGCAAAAGAGACCGACAUUUUGAAAGAUAGAGGUCAGAAAUAAAAGUGUGUAAAUAAUGAAUGCAUUACAAAACAGAACUGAAUGCAUUACAAAAGAGAGUUCAGAUUAAAAAAUUGAUAUCCAGCC